This 513-nucleotide long non-coding RNA is filed under the name Callithrix jacchus (white-tufted-ear marmoset). Its description in RNAcentral is "lncRNA (ENSCJAG00000071236.1)". Lineage: Eukaryota; Metazoa; Chordata; Mammalia; Primates; Cebidae. The record is from RNAcentral.
GUUUAACAGACUCAAUUUCUGAUAUUAACUUUAUACUUUGAUCAUUUUUCAUAGGAAUUUUAAGAGAACGUUGGUAGAAAUUGCUGCUUUAUUUAUUAUAGUUUUUUAUCCAGGUAUAGAAUCCUGUAGCAGUUUUCCUGGGCUACAUGGAGGCUGGGUCCAUGAUUCUUCUGAGAGAAAACUGUAUCCUUUCUUCUGUCAGGUUACCACAGCAGAGAUUUUACAUCUGAGGCUUUCAACCCUUCAUGCCAGGCUAGAAAGGUCCUGUUCUGAAACAACUAGGCAUGACUUCACAAGUUUCUCAUCCGUUUUCCUAAUGUGGAGAUCCCAGAACUAGAACAGCCAUGUUGGGUCUCACAUUUGCUAUGUAAAAAGAACAGCAGAGCUUCCUACCAGCCUCCGAUGUCUGCUGACCACUGACUUGUAACCUAAGAGAGAAAUAAACUUUCAUCUUGCAUGACCGCUGAAAUUUGGAAUCUGUGCUGCUGGGAUUUAUCUUGUAAUUAACUAAUG